Molecule: ribosomal RNA, 989 nt
Filed under: uncultured archaeon
Lineage: Archaea
Description: bacterial SSU rRNA
Rfam family: Archaeal small subunit ribosomal RNA
Source: RNAcentral
ACGGCUCAGUAACACGUAGUCAACAUGCCCAAAGGACGUGGAUAACCUCGGGAAACUGAGGAUAAACCAUGAUAGGCCAAGGUUUCUGGAAUGAGCCAUGGCCGAAAUCUAUAUGGCCUUUGGAUUGGACUGCGGCCGAUCAGGCUGUUGGUGAGGUAAUGGCCCACCAAACCUGUAACCGGUACGGGCUUUGAGAGAAGGAGCCCGGAGAUGGGCACUGAGACAAGGGCCCAGGCCCUAUGGGGCGCAGCAGGCGCGAAACCUCUGCAAUAGGCGAAAGCUUGACAGGGUUACUCUGAGUGAUGCCCGCUAAGGGUAUCUUUUGGCACCUCUAAAAAUGGUGCAGAAUAAGGGGUGGGCAAGUCUGGUGUCAGCCGCCGCGGUAAUACCAGCACCCCGAGUUGUCGGGACGAUUAUUGGGCCUAAAGCAUCCGUAGCCUGUUCUGCAAGUCCUCCGUUAAAUCCACCUGCUCAACGGAUGGGCUGCGGAGGAUACCGCAGAGCUAGGAGGCGGGAGAGGCAAACGGUACUCAGUGGGUAGGGGUAAAAUCCAUUGAUCUACUGAAGACCACCAGUGGCGAAGGCGGUUUGCCAGAACGCGCUCGACGGUGAGGGAUGAAAGCUGGGGGAGCAAACCGGAUUAGAUACCCGGGUAGUCCCAGCUGUAAACGAUGCAGACUCGGUGAUGGGUUGGCUUCGAGCCAACCCAGUGCCGCAGGGAAGCCGUUAAGUCUGCCGCCUGGAGAGUACGGUCGCAAGACUGAAACUUAAGGAAUUGGCGGGGGAGCACCACAAGGGGUGAAGCCUGCGGUUCAAUUGGAGUCAACGCCGGGAAUCUUACCGGGGGCGACAGCAGAGUGAAGUCAAGCUGAGACUUUACCAGACAGCUGAGAGGAGGUUCAUGGCCGUCGCCAGCUCGUGCGUGAGGUGUCUGUAGUCAGUAACGAGCAGAUCCUGCCUCUAGUGCUACCACUGCUCCUCAGAGCAGA